This 376-nucleotide ribosomal RNA is filed under the name uncultured bacterium. Its description in RNAcentral is "bacterial SSU rRNA". It matches the Rfam family "Bacterial small subunit ribosomal RNA", at positions 524 to 898 of the family's 1533-position model. The record is from RNAcentral.
AACGUAGGAGGCAAGCGUUAUCCGGAUUUACUGGGCGUAAAGCGCGUGCAGGCGGUUUGGUAAGUUGGAUGUGAAAGCUCCCGGCUCAACUGGGAGAGGUCGUUCAAAACUACCAGACUUGAGGGCGGUAGAGGGAAGUGGAAUUCCGUGUGUAGUGGUGAAAUGCGUAGAUAUACGGAGGAACACCAGUGGCGAAAGCGGCUUCCUGGACCGAUCCUGACGCUCAGACGCGAAAGCUAGGGGAGCAAACGGGAUUAGAGACCCCGGUAGUCCUAGCUGUAAACGAUGUGAACUUGGCGUCGGUGGGUUUAAAUCCAUCGGUGCCGUAGCUAACGCGAUAAGUUCACCGCCUGGGGACUACGGCCGCAAGGUUAAA